Molecule: ribosomal RNA, 498 nt
Filed under: uncultured bacterium
Lineage: Bacteria
Description: partial 16S ribosomal RNA
Rfam family: Bacterial small subunit ribosomal RNA
Source: RNAcentral
AUUGAACGCUGGCGGCAUGCCUUACACAUGCAAGUCGAACGGUAACAGGUCUUCGGAUGCUGACGAGUGGCGAACGGGUGAGUAAUGCAUCGGAACGUGCCCAGUUGUGGGGGAUAACUGCUCGAAAGAGCAGCUAAUACCGCAUACGACCUGAGGGUGAAAGCGGGGGAUCGCAAGACCUCGCGCAAUUGGAGCGGCCGAUGUCAGAUUAGGUAGUUGGUGGGGUAAAGGCCUACCAAGCCGACGAUCUGUAGUUGGUCUGAGAGGACGACCAGCCACACUGGGACUGGGACACGGCCCAGACUCCUACGGGAGGCAGCAGUGGGGAAUUUUGGACAAUGGGCGCAAGCCUGAUCCAGCAAUGCCGCGUGCAGGAAGAAGGCCUUCGGGUUGUAAACUGCUUUUGUCAGGGAAGAAAUCCUCUGGGUUAAUACCCCGGGGGGAUGACGGUACCUGAAGAAUAAGCACCGGCUAACUACGUGCCAGCCGCCGCCGUAA